Molecule: ribosomal RNA, 309 nt
Filed under: uncultured bacterium
Lineage: Bacteria
Description: bacterial SSU rRNA
Rfam family: Bacterial small subunit ribosomal RNA
Source: RNAcentral
UAAGGCCUCGCGCGAUUGGAGCGGCCGAUGUCUUAUUAGGUAGUUGGUAGGGUAAAGGCCUACCAAGGCGACGAUCCGUAGCGGGUCCGAGAGGAUGAUCCGCCACACUGGGACUGAGACACGGCCCAGACUUCUACGGGAGGCAGCAGUGGGGAAUUUUGGACAAUGGGCGAAAGCCUGAUCCAGCCAUGCCGCGUGAGUGAAGAAGGCCUUCGGGUUGUAAAGCUCUUUCAGACGGAAAGAAAUCGCAUCUUCUAAUACAGGGUGUGGAUGACGGUACCGUAAGAAGAAGCACCGGCUAACUACGUG